This 623-nucleotide ribosomal RNA is filed under the name uncultured Mycena. RNAcentral describes it as "eukaryotic LSU rRNA". The stretch from base 212 to 370 matches the Rfam family "5.8S ribosomal RNA". The record is from RNAcentral. Lineage: Eukaryota; Fungi; Basidiomycota; Agaricomycetes; Agaricales; Tricholomataceae.
UAGUUCGUGGUGCUGUGCUGGCCUUUCGGCGGCAUGUGCACGCAUUGCAAUUAUUUCAUUAUCUUUUUGUGAACCAGUGUAGGCUUGGUCCUUUGUCGGUGGAAGCUUUAGAGCGAUAACGCCGUUCGUAGGACUGGGUCUAUGAUUUAUAUCAAACCUUUGUAUGUUUUUGAAUGUCUUUUUAUUGGCCGUAAGGCUAGUAAAUCUAUACCACUUUCAGCAACGGAUCUCUUGGACUCUCCCAUCGUAGUCGAAGAACGCAGCGAAAUGCGAUAAGUAACUGUGAAUUGCAGAAUUCCGUGAAUCAUCGAAUCUUUGAACGCNCCUUGCGCCUUUUGUUACACCCAAGGGCAUGCUUGUUUGAGUGUCAUUAAAUUCUCAAAAACCUUUGGUUUGUUCUGAAGGCUUUUGGAUGUGAGGGCUUGCUGGCUUUCGGGUCUGCUCCCUUUAAAUGCAUUAGUGGAUUCCUUUGUGAACGGUCACUUGGUGUGAUAAUCUAUCUACGCCGCUUGACUUGAAGCAAGCCUUAUGGGAGUUCGCUCAUAACCGUCUUUCGAGACAACUCUUUGACCAUUUGACCUCAAAUCAAGUAGGACUACCCGCUGAACUUAAGCAUAUCAAUA